Molecule: long non-coding RNA, 267 nt
Filed under: Gallus gallus (chicken)
Lineage: Eukaryota; Metazoa; Chordata; Aves; Galliformes; Phasianidae
Source: RNAcentral
GACACUGCUGUCCUUUCCCUGCCUUUGUCCAUAGCAAUUGCUCGGAGCCACCUCUCUCACAGCUGGCACAAACUCCCAGCACAGCUACUCACCAGCAAAAAGGGUUUUGACAUUGGCUCUUCAAACUUAGAAGCGUUGAAACACUGGAAGGAAAACAAGUGCUGAGCUGAAAAAUGUGGUCUGCACACAGGAUUACAUGCUCAGCUGAAGCUCCUUGGUGCUUUUCUAAUCCAGAGCUGUAUGCCUCCUCUCUGCACUCCCCCUCUU